CGCCUUCUGAAACCCUUAUAGAAGGUUCAACCUGCCCAGUGAAACGUUCAACGGCCGCGGUACCCUGACCGUGCUAAGGUAGCGCAAUCACUUGCCCUUUAAUUGGGGGCUAGUAUGAAUGGUCAAACGAGGGUGAAGCUGUCUCACUGAGGCCUCCUAGAAAUUAUCCUUCACGUGAAGAGACCUGAUUAUUAUAGAAAGACGAGAAGACCCUGUCAAGCUUUACAUUACCGCACGUCACUUAAACCACCACGCGCCAAAUGUUUUGUUGGGGCAACACAGGAACAAAAUCUUCCUUACCACAACUUUUAUACUCCAAACAAUCCGGCAAAGCCGAACAGAGACAAAGCUACUGCAGGGAUAACAGGCUAAUCUGCUUCAAGAGCCCACAUUGACAAGCAGGCUUGGCACCUCGAUGUUGGCUUAAGAACCCUUUCUGGGGCAGCCCCCAGAAAAAGGAGGUUUGUUCAACCUAUAACUUCUUACA
This 487-nucleotide ribosomal RNA is filed under the name Sipunculus nudus (marine worm). RNAcentral's name for it is "partial 16S ribosomal RNA". It matches the Rfam family "Bacterial large subunit ribosomal RNA", at positions 1817 to 2600 of the family's 2925-position model. The record is from RNAcentral. Lineage: Eukaryota; Metazoa; Annelida; Sipuncula; Golfingiida; Sipunculidae.